UACAGAGGGUGCAAGCGUUAAUCGGAAUUACUGGGCGUAAAGCGUGCGUAGUCGGUUAUUUAAGUCGGAUGUGAAAUCCCCAGGCUUAACCUGGGAACUGCAUCCGAUACUGGAUGGCUUGAAUCCGGGAGAGGGAUGCAGAAUUCCAGGUGUAGCGGUGAAAUGCGUAGAUAUCUGGAGGAAUACCGGUGGCGAAGGCGGCAUCCUGGACCGGCAUUGACGCUGAGGCGCGAAAGCGUGGGGAGCAAACAGG
This 253-nucleotide ribosomal RNA is filed under the name uncultured bacterium. RNAcentral's name for it is "partial 16S ribosomal RNA". It matches the Rfam family "Bacterial small subunit ribosomal RNA", at positions 524 to 776 of the family's 1533-position model. The record is from RNAcentral.